RNAcentral lists this ribosomal RNA (917 nucleotides) under uncultured archaeon. Its description in RNAcentral is "bacterial SSU rRNA". It matches the Rfam family "Archaeal small subunit ribosomal RNA", at positions 1 to 922 of the family's 1478-position model. The record is from RNAcentral.
UUCCGGUUGAUCCUGCCAGAGGUUACUGCUAUCGGGGUCUGACUAAGCCAUGCGAGUUGAGAGGGGUUAAGCCCUCAGCGUAAUGCUCAGUAACACGCGGAUAACCUGCCCUUGGAUCCGGGAUAACCCCGGGAAACUGGGACUAAUACCGGAUAGAUCACGGAUACUGGAAUGUUCCUUGAUCCAAAGCUCCGGCGUCCAAGGAUGGAUCUGCGACCUAUCAGGUAGUAGUGGGUGUAACGUACCUACUAGCCUACAACGGGUACGGGUUGUGAGAGCAAGAGCCCGGAGAUGGAUUCUGAGACAUGAAUCCAGGCCCUACGGGGUGCAGCAGGCGCGAAAACUUUACAAUGCAGGAAACUGCGAUAAGGGGACCCCGAGUGCCAGCAUCUAAUGCUGGCUGUCCAGCUGUGUAAAUAGCAGUUGUUAGCAAGGGCCGGGCAAGACCGGUGUCAGCCGCCGCGGUAACACCGGCGGCCCGAGUGGUAACCGAUUUUAUUGGGUUUAAAGGGUCCGUAGCCGGUCUGUUAAGUCUCUUGGGAAAUCUGGCGACUCAAUCGUCAGACGGUCAAGAGAUACUGACAGGCUUGGGACCGGUAGAGGUGGGAGGUACUCCAGGGGUAGAGGUGAAAUUUUGUAAUCCUUGGGGGACCAUCGAUGGCGAAGGCAUCCCACUAGAACGGGUCCGACGGUGAGGGACGAAAGCUGGGGGCACGGACCGGAUUAGAUACCCGGGUAGUCCCAGCCGUAAACGAUGCUCGCUAGGUGUCAGAUGCGGUGCGACCGCAUUUGGUGCCGCAGUGAAAACCUGAAGCGAGCCACCUGGGAAGUACGGUCGCAAGGCUGAAACUUAAAGGAAUUGGCGGGGGAGCACUACAACGGGUGGAGCCUGCGGUUCAAUUGGAGUCAACGCCGGG